UCCUCAGUAGCUCAAUGGCGGAGCAACCGGCUGUUAACCGGUAGGUUGUUGGUUCGAGUCCAACCUGGGGAG
Molecule: non-coding RNA, 72 nt
Organism: Acinetobacter sp. CAG:196
Lineage: Bacteria; Pseudomonadati; Pseudomonadota; Gammaproteobacteria; Moraxellales; Moraxellaceae
Source: Rfam